This 2312-nucleotide long non-coding RNA is filed under the name Cottoperca gobio. RNAcentral describes it as "lncRNA (ENSCGOG00000009743.1)". Lineage: Eukaryota; Metazoa; Chordata; Actinopteri; Perciformes; Bovichtidae. The record is from RNAcentral.
ACUUGUGUGUUCUUUAGAGGACAAUGAGAAGGACACAGGUGAGGAAAUGAAUCGCAGGAGCAAGAGAUGCAGGCCUGAGAGGACAUCCGAGAAGAUGCAAUCUGAUUGGGCAAAGAUGAAAGAGCGUCUCUCUACACUCAGACAAGUGAGAAUGACUUCUCCCGGUGUAUUUAAGUAUCAUAUGAAGAGUAUUUUGAGAAAUGUUUUCAUGUCAAAUUUAUACAUUCCCUGUAAACAUGUGUAUGCAACAUCAUUUGUGUGUCUGGUUUAGAAAUGUGAGAAAAAGGAGCAGACACUACAGAAGAAGAAGACUCAGUUAAAAGAUGUUGAGCUCUCCCUCUCUGAACUUCAACAGAGAAGAAAGAAUGCCUCGCAGGAAUUGGAGCGACUGACUGUGGAGACGGCAACAAUGGAGAAGGAGAAGAGGACUCUGGAGUUUGUGCUGAGAGACAGUAGGGCAGGGAAGGAUUCUAUUAGGUAUAAAACAAACAGUAUUAUACAACUCUGUAUACAUCAACAUGGUCACAUCACAUUGCAUCAACAUAAUCCUGUGCUGUAUAAAGGAUAGCAAUUGUGUUGUAGUUGCCAGCUGCAUGAGCUGCAGAGGCAGAGAGAGUCCUGUAUCCUCGAGGUAAGAGACCUGGAAGAAGAACUUGCAACCCUGAGUCAAUGUAAGCAGACUCUGAAGGAUGGAGCCUUCCUGGAGAGGCCCGGCAGUGUCUUCAUGUCAGUGCUGGAGAGGGAGGAGAUGGAAAGACAGCUGGAUAACGCCAAAACAGAACUGUUUUCUGAACAGCGACGUGCACGAGAGAAGCUUGAGUCCAUGCAAGAAAAGUUGGAGGAGACCUGUGAGGAGCUCAAGAGGGUCACCGAGGCUGAGAGCUUACUGAGGAACAGCUGUGAUUGUCUGGAGGAGAAACGGAGGCAGAAAAAGAAUCAGAUUGAGGUGGCACCUGAUGACAGCAUUUCAAUUCAAAUAUGUAUCUAUUAAGCAAAUGACACACUGUCAACAUCCAGUUUGUGUUUAUCAAAAUGUUCUAACUAUCCCUUCUAUUUCUGGUGUAUCUCUCUCUGUCAGGCAGAGGAGUUCCAAGUAGGCGAGCUGCGGGGUGAACUGGGAGAAUGCAAGAUCAGAGUGGGCACUCAGGAGAAGAUGUUGGCCCAGAAGGAGCUGCAGCUGCUAGAUUUACAGGAGCAACUCGGGGCCUUAAAAGCAGAACGAGAUGGACUGAAGGGGGAGCUACAACACCUGAACACCCAGCACUGCAAUGCACGGAAAGAGGCCCACGAGAAAGCUCAUAGAAUGAUAGUAAGUGCUGUGGUUUAAGAGUCUACAAGCGAUAGUGUUUCAAGUCAUUACAGUUCCUAUUUGUUUUUAUCCAGGAAGCAGCAUUGAAGCAGCAAAAAAAAGAAUUGGCUUUGACUCAUGAGCAGCACGUCCAAAAGGUUACACGCAUGUCUGCGAAACUAAAAUAUUGAUUUUUCAAAUGACAUCAUCACAGUUUGAUUAAUGAUGUAGCAAUCCUUCUGGCUGUCGUGUCCUCAGGUUAAUAAGCAGACAGAAGAGGAGAAGGCUUUAAAAGAACAAGCUCUCUCCCAAACACGAUACAUUGAGUCCUUGAAAAGUUCCAUUAAGGUCAGUAUGUUUCCCUAAACAUAUGAAAUCCACUGUUACACUAUAUAAGUGUAAACUAUUUGGUGAACUGUUUUAUCCAAGUACCCUGCACUGACAAUAAUGCAGGUAGUGUUAAGUUUGUGUGGCAUUCGUGGGUAUGAAAACCCAACUUUUCUGUGUUAUCUUCAUGAUUAUAGCACUAUACGUAGAGUAAGUACACACUGUUCAUGUGAUCCUCUCCUAUUCUGGCAGCUAAAAGACAAAGAGGCAAAGAAGCUGAGGGAUUCUCUGGAGCAGCAGCAGCAGGAGGCAGAGAAGCAGCAUCUACAAGCCUUGGAAAAGGUACUCUGAUAAUCCUCUUCCUAAAAUAUACAAUAUUAUUUGCAACAUGAUUGCAUGUUAUACACACUAUGCUCUCAUUUAGGUGCACACCAUAAUAGAGGAGGAGAGGAGGAGGUGGGAGGCAGAACAAGUGGAAGCAGUGCAGGUGCACUGUGGGAUACUGGAAGAGCAGAAUAAAAAGAGCUUGGACAGCAUGAGGAGUGAGAUGCAGCGAGAGAAGAGUAAAGCUCUGGCUCUCCAAUAUAAAGUGGUGAAACUAAAAACUGUAAGGUGACUCCCAUCCAUGACAACAUUGCCAUCUUAAAUAAAUCAGAAAUGUAUUCUUAUUGUAUUCUGAUUUUCAUUCUCUUUUAUG